Molecule: ribosomal RNA, 254 nt
Filed under: uncultured bacterium
Lineage: Bacteria
Description: partial 16S ribosomal RNA
Rfam family: Bacterial small subunit ribosomal RNA
Source: RNAcentral
UACGAAGGGGGCUAGCGUUGCUCGGAAUCACUGGGCGUAAAGCGCACGUAGGCGGCUUCUUAAGUCAGGGGUGAAAUCCUGGAGCUCAACUCCAGAACUGCCUUUGAUACUGGGAGGCUUGGAGUCCGGGAGAGGUGAGUGGAACUGCGAGUGUAGAGGUGAAAUUCGUAGAUAUUCGCAAGAACACCAGUGGCGAAGGCGGCUCACUGGCCCGGUACUGACGCUGAGGUGCGAAAGCGUGGGGAGCAAACAGG